UGGCUCAAUGGUUAAGAGCACUGGUUGCCCUUCCAGAGGACCUGGGUUUGAUUCCCAG
This 58-nucleotide transfer RNA is filed under the name Cricetulus griseus (Chinese hamster). It matches the Rfam family "tRNA", at positions 8 to 63 of the family's 71-position model. From Rfam's summary of the family: Transfer RNA (tRNA) molecules are approximately 80 nucleotides in length. Their secondary structure includes four short double-helical elements and three loops (D, anti-codon, and T loops). Lineage: Eukaryota; Metazoa; Chordata; Mammalia; Rodentia; Cricetidae. The record is from Rfam by way of RNAcentral.